RNAcentral lists this transfer RNA (67 nucleotides) under Togoperla sp. KW-2014. Its description in RNAcentral is "tRNA-Arg". The record is from RNAcentral. Lineage: Eukaryota; Metazoa; Arthropoda; Insecta; Plecoptera; Perlidae.
AUGUAAGAAGCGAAUAUAUUGCAUUCAGUUUCGACCUGACCCUUGAUAUCUUUGAUAUCCUUACUUU